RNAcentral lists this ribosomal RNA (194 nucleotides) under uncultured bacterium. Its description in RNAcentral is "partial 16S ribosomal RNA". It matches the Rfam family "Bacterial small subunit ribosomal RNA", at positions 1307 to 1500 of the family's 1533-position model. The record is from RNAcentral.
AAAUUACGCCUUCCAUGAAGCCGGAAUUGCUAGUAAUGGCAGGUCAGCAUACUGCCGUGAAUACGUUCCCGGGCCUUGUACACACCGCCCGUCACACCAUGAGAGUUGGGAAUACCCGAAGCCUGUGAGCUAACUAAUAGAGGCAGCAGUCGAAGGUAGAAUCAAUGAUUGGGGUGAAGUCGUAACAAGGUAUC